Molecule: ribosomal RNA, 363 nt
Filed under: uncultured Bacteroidota bacterium
Lineage: Bacteria; Pseudomonadati; Bacteroidota
Description: bacterial SSU rRNA
Rfam family: Bacterial small subunit ribosomal RNA
Source: RNAcentral
AGUCGAGGGGUAUAGGAAGCUUGCUUCCUAGAGACCGGCGCACGGGUGCGUAACGCGUAUGCAAUCUACCUUGUACAGGGGGAUAGCCCAGAGAAAUUUGGAUUAAUACCCCAUAGUAUUAUUGAGUGGCAUCACUUAAUUAUUAAAGUUCCAACGGUACAAGAUGAGCAUGCGUCCUAUUAGCUAGUUGGUGUGGUAACGGCACACCAAGGCUACGAUAGGUAGGGGUCCUGAGAGGGAGAUCCCCCACACUGGUACUGAGACACGGACCAGACUCCUACGGGAGGCAGCAGUGAGGAAUAUUGGACAAUGGGCGCAAGCCUGAUCCAGCCAUGCCGCGUGCAGGAAGAAGCAUCUAUGGUG